This 799-nucleotide ribosomal RNA is filed under the name uncultured Sclerocystis. Its description in RNAcentral is "SSU rRNA". It matches the Rfam family "Eukaryotic small subunit ribosomal RNA", at positions 314 to 1114 of the family's 1831-position model. Lineage: Eukaryota; Fungi; Glomeromycota; Glomeromycetes; Glomerales; Glomeraceae. The record is from RNAcentral.
AUCAACUUUCGAUGGUAGGAUAGAGGCCUACCAUGGCGGUAACGGGUAACGGGGUGUUAGGGCACGACACCGGAGAGGGAGCCUGAGAAACGGCUACCACAUCCAAGGAUGGCAGCAGGCGCGCAAAUUACCCAAUCCCGACACGGGGAGGUAGUGACAAUAAAUAACAAUACGGGGUUCUUUCGGAUCUCGUAAUUGGAAUGAGUACAAUUUAAAUCUCUUAACGAGGAACAAUUGGAGGGCAAGUCUGGUGCCAGCAGCCGCGGUAAUUCCAGCUCCAAUAGCGCAUAGUAAAGUUGUUGCAGUUAAAAAGCUCGUAGUUGAAUUUCGGGGUCAGCAGGUUGGUCGUGCCAAUGGUAUGCACUGGCCUUGCUGAUUCCUCCCUCUUGAUGAGCCGUAAUGCCAUUAAUUUGGUGUUGCGGGGAAUCAGGACUGUUACUUUGAAAAAAUUAGAGUGUUUAAAGCAGGCAAGCGCUUGAAUACAUUAGCAUGGAAUAAUGAAAUAGGACGUUCGAUCCUAUUUUGUUGGUUUCUAGGAUUGACGUAAUGAUUAAUAGGGAUAGUUGGGGGCAUUAGUAUUCAAUUGUCAGAGGUGAAAUUCUUGGAUUUAUUGAAGACUAACUACUGCGAAAGCAUUUGCCAAGGAUGUUUUCAUUAAUCAAGAACGAAAGUUAGGGGAUCGAAGACGAUCAGAUACCGUCGUAGUCUUAACCAUAAACUAUGCCGACUAGGGAUCGGAUGAUGUUAAUUUUUUAAUGACUCAUUCGGCGCCUUACGGGAAACCAAAGUGUUUGGGUUC